Molecule: ribosomal RNA, 204 nt
Filed under: uncultured bacterium
Lineage: Bacteria
Description: partial 16S ribosomal RNA
Rfam family: Bacterial small subunit ribosomal RNA
Source: RNAcentral
AUUGAACGCUAGCGGCAUGCUUAACACAUGCAAGUCGAACGGCAGCACGGAGGAGCUUGCUCCUUGGUGGCGAGUGGCGGACGGGUGAGUAACGCGUAGGAAUCUGCCUUAGUAAGAGGGGGGAUAACCCGGGGAAACUCGGGCUAAUACCGCAUAAUCUCUACGGAGCAAAGUGGGGGAUCUUUGGACCUCACGCUAGUUAGA